This 498-nucleotide ribosomal RNA is filed under the name uncultured bacterium. RNAcentral's name for it is "partial 16S ribosomal RNA". It matches the Rfam family "Bacterial small subunit ribosomal RNA", at positions 28 to 507 of the family's 1533-position model. The record is from RNAcentral.
GACGAACGCUGGCGGCGUGCCUAAUACAUGCAAGUCGAGCGGACGAAUCGAAAGCUUGCUUUUGAUUCGUUAGCGGCGGACGGGUGAGUAACACGUGGGCAACCUGCCCUGUAGACGGGGAUAACACCGAGAAAUCGGUUCUAAUACCGGAUAACACGAAAUGUCGCAUGACGUUUCGUUUAAAGACGGCGCUAGCUGUCGCUACAGGAUGGGCCCGCGGCGCAUUAGCUAGUUGGUGAGGUAACGGCUCACCAAGGCGGCGAUGCGUAGCCGACCUGAGGGGGGGAUCGGCCACACGGGGACUGAGACACGGCCCAGACUCCUACGGGAGGCAGCAGUAGGGAAUCUUCCGCAAUGGACGAGAGUCUGACGGAGCAACGCCGCGUGAGCGAAGAAGGCCUUCGGGUCGUAAAGCUCUGUUGUUAGGGAAGAACAAGUAACGCAGUAACUGGCGUUACCGUGACGGUACCUAACGAGAAAGCCACGGCUAACUACGUG